Molecule: long non-coding RNA, 943 nt
Filed under: Danio rerio (zebrafish)
Lineage: Eukaryota; Metazoa; Chordata; Actinopteri; Cypriniformes; Danionidae
Description: lncRNA si:dkey-101c24.2 (ENSDARG00000097748.2)
Source: RNAcentral
AACAAACAGAAGCAGAAGUUGCAGAUUGUAACGUGAGGUCUCCCUGCCAGAGAGAAUUAGCCCGGAGUGGGGGUUGGAUGAAGGGGUGGAAACUGCGCCGCAUGACACAUUAGCCCGUCUCUAUCAAAAAAAAUAUACACUGAAAGAUAUGAGGCAAAAUGUCAAAGUGCGUGCGAUUUCCUUUACUGCAGACUCACGUAAUGGGUCAGUUGUCUGGGGACACAGACGAGUCCUGCCUCUUCCUUAUUGGCCAGAGUGCUCUACCGAGGGACAGAGGAUGAUGGAAAGAAGAAGCAGGUGUGUGCUUGGUGUUAUUGCACAGCGGGUUAAGGGCAGGUGUGAGUCUGCCAGGCUCGGUGGCACAGCUGGGCAGUGUAAGCCCUGAUGACUGGCUCAUCACUCCCUCCCAUGGCUAACCCUCUGUCUCACAGAGUCUGAAACAGCUGGUUCCCACUGAGCCUAGCCCUGACCAGGUCAAACCUUGCACCUUCCAAACUGGGCCAUGGACAUGGAGUAAAACACAUUCAGGGUGCCCUGCAGUUUCUGGCGCACACAUUUACCUUUGGGGCUAAAUCGUUAAAAUUUAAAGCCUGUAUGACGUCAACGGCGGACCCAUUUGUUAUGCUUAGACACAACUACAUGUAAGAUGCAUGAUAUUACAUGAAGUUGUGUCUGAGCAGAAGGAACUUCAGUUCUUGACUUCAUAGACGCAUAGAAAAAAGCAACCGUUCAUCCAGAAAUUAGAUUUUAGUUUUUUUAAAUAAUUAAUUCUACAAUUAUUUAUUUAUUUUUGUUUUUCUGCCAACAUUCAACACUAUUUUCUGCACAUUUAAUGUUAGUAUUAUAUUAGAGAAUAUACCCUAGUAAUUAGUAUUGUAUUAUAUUACAUUUUAUGGAUUACAUUCACUUUUAUAGAAAGGUUUUUUUUCUUUUUGCAACAACC